AGGACGAACGCUGGCGGCGUGCUUAACACAUGCAAGUCGAGCGGAAAGGCCCUUCGGGGUACUCGAGCGGCGAACGGGUGAGUAACACGUGAGCAAUCUGCCCUUAGCUUCGGGAUAGCCCCGGGAAACUUGAGCUAAUACCGAAUGUGCCCGAAAGGGGAAAGAUUUAUCGCCAAUAAAUCAGCCCGCGUCCGAUUAGCUAGUUGGUGGGGUAAAGGCCCACCAAGGCGACGAUCGGUAGCUGUUCUGAGAGGAAGAUCAGCCACACUGGGACUGAGACACGGCCCAGACUCCUACGGGAGGCAGCAGUUGGGAAUCUUGGACAAUGGGGGAAACCCUGGAUCCAGCCAUGCCGCGUGAGUGAUGAAGGCCUUCGGGUUGUAAAACUCUUUCGACGGGACGAUAAUGACGGUACCGUAGAAGAAGCUCCGGCUAACUUCGCGCCAGCAGCCGC
This 454-nucleotide ribosomal RNA is filed under the name uncultured bacterium. RNAcentral's name for it is "SSU rRNA". It matches the Rfam family "Bacterial small subunit ribosomal RNA", at positions 26 to 518 of the family's 1533-position model. The record is from RNAcentral.